UACGGAGGAUCCAAGCGUUAUCCGGAUUUAUUGGGUUUAAAGGGUGCGUAGGCGGCUUAUUAAGUCAGGGGUGAAAGACGGUGGCUCAACCAUCGCAGUGCCCUUGAUACUGAUGAGCUUGAAUAAACUAGAGGUAGGCGGAAUGUGACAAGUAGCGGUGAAAUGCAUAGAUAUGUCACAGAACACCGAUUGCGAAGGCAGCUUACUAUGGUUUUAUUGACGCUGAGGCACGAAAGCGUGGGGAUCAAACAGGAUUAGAAACCCCCGUAGUCC
Molecule: ribosomal RNA, 273 nt
Filed under: uncultured bacterium
Lineage: Bacteria
Description: partial 16S ribosomal RNA
Rfam family: Bacterial small subunit ribosomal RNA
Source: RNAcentral